AACGAACGCUGGCGGCAGGCUUAACACAUGCAAGUCGAACGCAUCGCAAGAUGAGUGGCAGACGGGUGAGUAACACGUGGGAACAUACCCUUUGGUGCGGAACAACAGCUGGAAACGGCUGCUAAUACCGCAUGCGCCCUACGGGGGAAAGAUUUAUCGCCGAAGGAUUGGCCCGCGUCUGAUUAGCUAGUUGGUGAGGUAAUGGCUCACCAAGGCGACGAUCAGUAGCUGGUCUGAGAGGAUGAUCAGCCACACUGGGACUGAGACACGGCCCAGACUCCUACGGGAGGCAGCAGUGGGGAAUAUUGGACAAUGGGCGCAAGCCUGAUCCAGCCAUGCCGCGUGAGUGAUGAAGGCCCUAGGGUUGUAAAGCUCUUUCAGCGAGGAGGAUAAUGACGUUACUCGCAGAAGAAGCCCCGGCUAACUUCGUG
RNAcentral lists this ribosomal RNA (431 nucleotides) under uncultured bacterium. RNAcentral's name for it is "bacterial SSU rRNA". It matches the Rfam family "Bacterial small subunit ribosomal RNA", at positions 29 to 507 of the family's 1533-position model. The record is from RNAcentral.